CCCAGCCGCCCCCGCCGCUCUCAAAGCGCGUUGUGACGCUGAUUCUCGCAGCCGGAAGCCUCCUGCCCUGUUUCUGAGAGGGCCGCAUCGCUCUCUGUCACGGAGCGCCGGCCAGGAGCGCCUUUCCUUCCUGGGUUCCCAGAAGGGCCCAGGCCAGGGCUGGGGGGUAGACUUCCGACCCCGCUCGGCGGGUGGACGUGCUUCCUUGGCCGGUUCUGGCCCCGUGGUCUGCGCCCGGGUGCCUGGCUGUCCCUCGUCUUUGCCUGGAGCUGGUGGUUCCUUCUCUCCUCUGGCAGGGAAUAAGGGCUUAAGGAUUUGGGGUUCUGAAUAUUCAUUAGCUAGAAACCAGCCAGCUAUAAACCAUGACAAAGUCAUUUUGAAAAGAUGGUAAAGAAGGAAAAUAGAAAAUGAUGGCGGAGCUUGUGUUGUCUUCACCAACAAGUAACACGAAGUGUAGGCGGUUUCCACCUCAGUCCCAAACUGUUUCACCGCCGGGUCUGGAGAUCUGGCCGGGGGCGUUGUCCUGGCCAGGGUUCCCUGGCCCCGAAGCCGGGACUUUUUUUUUUUUUUAAGUCCUUAAGUGGAACUGAGAAGGAGCUGCGCUUGUCUCAGGGCAGGCUUGGCGGUGGGGAUGGGGCAGGCUGACUAGGGCCGGUAGCGUUUCCGCGGAGCAGCUUCCGGGGGAAUUUUGUCUAAACGUUUGAGGUCAAUGGGCCCAGGCGGUGGCUGGACGUCAGGGCGCUGGAAUGUUGAGGAGCCUCGGAUGCAUCACAGUGCUUUGAAUAGGCUACCAGGGCACUGUUUCCUCCCACAGACUGUAUCUUGAUGAAUUUGCCAGAAAUUGGGCCAAGACUCACAGAGAAGACCGAGGUCCAAUUUGGCGAGUUGGCUGUUAGUGGCUCUGCUUGGUGGUUUGGUUAAGAAGAUGGAGCCAAAACCCAGAGUGAGAAUGAGGUUCCUUUAGAGCCGCCAAAGGCAGACGUAAGGUUCAAGUUUCAGGGGACAGGCAGGAGGUUCCAGAGAGAAGAGACCAGCGUGGCCCCUCUCUUGCUUACUUAUUCCAGCCUCAGUUUGCUCAUCUCUAACGGAUAAGGAAAUCUCCUUCUCCAGCCAGCGAUGUAUGAAUGACCCAGUUUCUCCACAUCCUGGCCAACCGUUGAGUGUUCUCGCAUGAUUUGUUUCCUUAGGAAUUCCUUCUAUAGUACUUGGAGCUUUGUGGAUAAAGCACCAGUCAGAGCCGCCCUGUGGAAAUGGAGCAAAGAGUUGAAAUGUGAUUCCCAACCUGGAGUGGAUGCUCUUUUCACGCUCAGCUGGGUCUCUAACUCCUGAAAUAUUAAUCUGACAUAGGACAAGUACCAUCCAGGGAUGUGAAAAAUCCAGCCUGAGGCCCCAAACAGAGUGGGGCCUGCUCUCUGGGCAGAUCCAGAGCUCCUGAAGAUGAAAACCUCGUAAGCCAACUGUGGACUCGGUGCUUUGCUGCAAGAGGAUUCAUUUGAGCUAUAAUAAAAAGUAGUGUGUUUAUUUAACCCCUGUAAGCUGAUCUCCUUGGUCUUCAUGAACUGGCUGGGCAGCUAAGGACCCACAUUCCUUCCACAGUUAAUAAAACUUCAUAUUUUUCUCUGU
Molecule: long non-coding RNA, 1623 nt
Organism: Bos taurus (domestic cattle)
Lineage: Eukaryota; Metazoa; Chordata; Mammalia; Artiodactyla; Bovidae
Source: Ensembl